CGAGCCGCUGGUGGCGGACGCGUGCGAGUGGGCCCCGCAGUUGCUCCUCCCCCAACCCCGCACAAAACCUCGCCGACCUCGCCGCCUCCGACCGCAGAUUACUCAUUCACUCGUUAGUUUAAGUGUGAGGCCACCGCGUGUGGCGGCGGCGGCGGCGAGGCGUGCGCUCUAUGGCUACUCGUGCAGUCCUGUACCAUGCCUGCAUGCCACCAAUCUGCCAUCACCGCCGCCUGCUCCCACUCGCGGCGGCCGGUGAUCACCACACCGAUACCCGCGGCCCUUGGGGAAAAAACGGCGGCGAUGAGGAAGGGCGACGCGGUUGGCGCCGGCCCGGUUCCCGAGCGGCAGCCCGCCUCGGAUCCCUGCUUCCUCGGGGCCACCCCUCUCCCCGCUCCAACGCGCCGCGUCGGAUUGCAGGCCCUUGGGCGGGCGACGGUGCUGCGGCGGCGGGGGUUGGGGUUGGGGACCGUGGGGGCGGGGUCCGCCGGCGGGUCCUGGUCGGGGGCGUGGCCGGGCAACGCGGGAUCUGAGCCGCCAUUGAUGGAUUUUUUCGAGCGCUUGAUUGCGAUUGUUUCCGUUUUGGUACGCUCGCUGUCUCCUCCUCUUCCUCCUCCGCCUCGUCUCACCGCCGCCAUGGUCGUCGUCGUCGUCGUCCUUCUCCUCCUCCUCCUCGUCUUCCUCUCUUUCUCUCUCUCUCUCGUGUAUGUGUAUGUGUGUAUGUAUAUUUGCACAUUCCAUUCCCCUGAACCCAAACCCUAGAUCGAAUCAACGCUGUGCGCGGGCCAUUAUCUGAAGCGGAUGUCGAUUAAGGUCCCCAUCUCUACGGUGCCGCCUCGCCGCCGUUGCAUUGCCUUGGCAUCGGUGGUGGCAGGGGCUGGGAACUGUGCGGUGGCACCUGACGGGCUUCCGAGUCUGGUUUGGCCGGCCGCGGUGUCCUGAUUCGUUGUUUGGUAUCAAGAAGGUUUCACGUCCCUAACUUAUAUUUGAUGAUGCUGUCUGAUUUAGGAUUUAAGGAUUCUCUGCCAAACAGGCCGAAAAUACUAAUCUGGGGCAAUGAUGAUCAUCCUUUUCUGAAAGCAUGCCUUUGAGCAAUCGAGGCAGCUGUUGGGUAUAAAAUUUAAUCUCACCCUUACUCUUGCAGCCUAUGCUAUCAUACCUUUUUGUUGGCGGUUCUCUGCCUUGGAUGGUCACUCAGAUGAGUGAUAACCGGUGCAGUUCCACUUACAUCAAGAUGAGUUGCUUUUGGAUCAAGAGGUGUUAGGGUUGGGUUUAUAUGAUUGAGAAAAGGCGAAGCUGAGCCCUCUUGAUGCAUGGAUGCAUAUAUACCUUGCUUGCGAUGCCUUCUCUCUAUUCCUGUCGAUGCCCCCGCCUCUGCUGCAGAGGUGAUCUCUUUCGCCUGCUGUUGCCUCUGUGGGCUGUGCUGUGAUCUACUCUGCUCUGCUUUUGAAUGUUCCUAGCCCUUCUGCUCCUCAUCCUCUCCACCUUGGUGGAAUUUGGAUGGUCAGAGGCGAACGAGAUCAGGAUAUGAGAUGAGAUGAGAAAAGAUGUGGUUUUCUGACUUGGGUAAAAGUACCCAGUGUAAGUGAAAUUUUACUUAGGCUGACCAAUUCUGACAUGGAAACAGACGCAGACCUAUGUAUGGGUUGCUGAUGACUGAUGAGGGGUGAUGAUGUUCAACCUUUUCUGAAUUGCAUGCCAUUGAAUAAUCAAGGUAGUUGUGGGUAUCUAAUUUGAGCUGAGCUCUCCCCUCUUGAAGCCUAUUUAACCAUCCCUUAUUGUUUGUGGUUCUGUGCCUAGGAUGGUCAUUCAGAUAUGUGAUAACCAGCGCAGUUCCACUUACAUUAGGAUGAGUAAAUUUGUGCAGCAAUGGAUGUGAGAGCUAGGCUUCUAUGAUUGAGCAAAGGCGAAGCUGAGCCCUCUCAGUGCUGUUUCAAUAUUUCAGCAUUGUCUUUCUGUACAAUUCAUUUUCUCUCUGUCUAUCUGUCUGUCUAUCUGUCUGUCUAUCUAUCUAUCUUUUCAUCUUUCAAACUAUCAUCAGCUUGAAAAUUUAACAAUGUGGAAAAAUGCCUUCAUGCUGAAGUCAGAACUCGACUAGUAACAGUGGCCCUCUCGGACCUGUGCUUCCCGGGGCCAUCCUUCCUGCUGUGACAUUUUGACUUUUAGGAUCUCAAGCAGCUGUGCAUGUUCGCAGCAGCAGAGGAUUGGGAACCGUGGAGCAGGUUUGCUGUGGUUCCCAGUUGGGGUUUUGUCAGGCAGUGUGAGAGCUGGCCUGUGAUUGAUGGAUCCUUGCCUCCCUCGUUUGUUUAUCUGUUUGUAUAUGCACUCAUGUCUGAAUUUUUGCUUACAUGCAUGCCUUUGAGAAUUUGAGAAUGCCAUGUGUAAAUUGACCCACAUAUUUAUAUGAAAAUGGAGUGCUAACGAGUGGGCGAGUGGCAAUGAUGAUGAGCCCUUUCUAAAAGACUUGCCUUUGAUGUUCCAUCAAUCGAGCCAGCUGUGGUAUCAAAUUUGACCUUGACCCUGUCCUCUGUUGCGCCUAUGCAACCAUUCCUUGUUUGUGGUUCUCUGCCUAGGAUGGUCAUUCAGAUGAGUGAUAACCUAGCUCCCUCUCAUGGCCUUCCUUUCCUGGUGGCGAUGACUGGACGAGCAUGGUGCCCUUCGUCACGUUUUCAUCAGGUCAUUCUCUGGUGACAGGCACCCACUAGGUAUGCUCAUCCCUUCUCUUUCCUUCCUGCUGUGCAAAAUGGAGCACCCCAAACCCUAAUGUAAGCUAUUUGUAUUCAGGUCUGACCCAGUUACAAGUAUAUGUAUGUAUUGUACCUACUAACUUCGAUCUUUUUGGCAAAAAUUAUCAGGUGUACAUUUGUACACCCAUGUCCUAUACUGGGUUCUGUGGUUCUGCCCCUGUUCUUGAACAGCUGCCACAAGGUCAGUGGUGGCACCUAGGGGUGUGAACUGCAAGUUGGUUUUUUGUUUGGGUGCUUUCCAGUCGCACUUUUUUACUUGGAAUUUUCAACCCCCCUUUUGAAACACCCCUCAAAAAAAAGAGGAAAAAAGAGAAGGAUAAAAGAAAUCUCAAUCCAUAUCCCACUAUACAUCCACGUUUUGCUGGGCAUGGUCAUCUGGAGUUUUCCCUUGAAUAUAUGGGGCAGAUCUGUGUUCCAAACAGGCCACAAACUGCCUCUUCCCCCAGUCUCCCUCUCACCUCACUCUUUCUGCUCACAUGCAGUACCUCACUUCUUGUGUUUUAUAUGGGGACGGAAGAUACUUGUUAUUGUUUAUGAUGCUGUGUGAUAUUUCUUUUUUGUUUGUUCUACUCUUGAGUGGCUAUGAUGAUUCACCUUCCCAUUAGAGAGAUUAUGCUCUCUAGCAUCAUCUUAUUUGGUACCUGUGGUAUUAUUAUGCUCUCUAGCAUCAUCUUAUUUGGUACCUGUGGUAUUUUGUAUUUUUUGCUGCUUAACUAGGAUGGCUUGUGCAACAAGUAACCAGUUCUGCAGCCAACUGCGGCGGCUGAUGUCUGUUACUGCUGAUAGUAACGACAGCUGGUGGCCCAUUUGAUCGGACAUUGGACAAUGCUGUUUAAAAGUUCAUUUGGGGAGAGAGAGAGAGAGCUUACAUUGUAUUGCAGUUGUCCUGCUGAUAAUGGGUUAAAUCUGAGCCAUUCAAGUGAUCUCUUUUUCCUUUCUUUCUUGAAGCCUGUCUGAAUAACACCUGAGUUUGUAAGUCUUUAAAUGACAUAUAUGUUGAGAUGUGCCAUGGUCCAAAUGUUGUUGUGAGGAGUGAUAUUGGUGUGGAAUCCAAAACCACCUAACCCACUCUUUGGACUAUGCAAAACCUACGGAGUUACCCCCAGGGUUAUUUUGAAGGUGGCUUUUGGUGCCAUUGCAGUUAAUCUGUUCUUUGAUUUGAUUGCUUCAAACGUUUGGUUUUGUACUCUUUUGAGCUCUUAGCUACUUAUUCCUUUGUGCCGUCUUGCAUGCCCUGUUGAUCUCUACAGCUCUGCGAUUCUGUCUUGCAUUGCUGACCUGGAUCUCUAGGGGCUCUUCACUUCACUUCCCUUCCUGCUGGAUUCGAACCUGGGACCUUGGUCAAUGUUAGUGGGACUAAUGUGUCAAAUCAGUUCAAUCUCAUUGACUACCUGCCUUGGUCUCAAGAAUGAAAAAAAUGAAAUUCCAAUUGGGGGCAAUGAUCAACAAUGAUGUCUGAGAUAAGCACAUUUGAGGAAUCAGGGCUGCUGUUGGCAUUAAACUGGAAUCCUCUCUCUCCUCUCUUGGAAACCUUUCCAACUAUGCUCAAAUGGUUUUGUCCUUGGAUGGUCAUGCCAUUUUUCAUGGGUGAUAACCAGGACAGCUCCGCUUAUCUCAACAGGUUGAUCUGGUGAUAAGAGAAGGCGCGGAUACAGUUAUAUGAUCGAGCAAAGGUGAAGGAUCGAGCAAAGUUACCUUCUACCUUGCUGCAAUAUCAGUGCUUACCUUUCAUGAAGAUACUUUCAGUUACCUUUGUUUAUCUCAAAAUUUCUUCCAAUGAUUUCUUGAGUUAUGUUUAGGUCCUGUACUCCUGUUGGACCUGGUUGAGUUUGGACUCUGAAGGCAUUGAACUUUUGGCAAUUGCUAGUAACCUUUGGGCCAUCAGAACUAUUAUAUCUGUGCAUUGUUGAUCCA
Panicum hallii is the source of this 4658-nucleotide long non-coding RNA. RefSeq lists it as uncharacterized. NCBI's taxonomy places the organism in Eukaryota, Viridiplantae, Streptophyta, Magnoliopsida, Poales, Poaceae. The record is from RefSeq and is a predicted model, not a curated record. The transcript is spliced from 2 exons.